CCUACGGGAGGCAGCAGUGGGGAAUCUUGCGCAAUGGGCGAAAGCCUGACGUAGCAACGCCGCGUGAGGGACGAAGGUUUUCUGAAUUGUAAACCUCUUUCAGCAGGGAAGAUAAUGACGGUACCUGCAGAAGAAGCACCGGCUAACUACGUGCCAGCAGCCGCGGUGAUACGUAGGGUGCAAGCGUUGUCCGGAUUUAUUGGGCGUAAAGAGCUCGUAGGCGGUUUGGUAAGUCGGUUGUGAAAUCCCCAGGCUCAACCUGGGGCCUGCAUUCGAUACUGCCAUGACUAGAGUUUGGUAGGGGACCACGGAAUUCCUGGUGUAGCGGUGGAAUGCGCAGAUAUCAGGAGGAACACCAGUAGCGAAGGCGGUGGUCUGGGCCAAUACUGACGCUGAGGAGCGAAAGCGUGGGGAGCAAACAGGAUUAGAUACCCUGGUAGUCCACGCCGUAAACGGUGGGCACUAGGUGUGGGGACUAUUCAACGGUUUCCGCGCCGACGCUAACGCAUUAAGUGCCCCGCCUGGGGAGUACGGCCGCAAGGCUAAAACUCAAAGGAAUUGACGG
Molecule: ribosomal RNA, 565 nt
Filed under: uncultured bacterium
Lineage: Bacteria
Description: bacterial SSU rRNA
Rfam family: Bacterial small subunit ribosomal RNA
Source: RNAcentral